This 253-nucleotide ribosomal RNA is filed under the name uncultured bacterium. RNAcentral describes it as "partial 16S ribosomal RNA". It matches the Rfam family "Bacterial small subunit ribosomal RNA", at positions 524 to 776 of the family's 1533-position model. The record is from RNAcentral.
UACAGAGGUCCCAAGCGUUGUUCGGAUUCACUGGGCGUAAAGGGUGCGUAGGUGGCAAAGUAAGUCUGAUGUGAAAUCUCCGGGCUUAACCCGGAAACUGCAUUGGAAACUACUUGGCUAGAGGGUUGGAGGGGGGACUGGAAUACUUGGUGUAGCAGUGAAAUGCGUAGAUAUCAAGUGGAACACCAGUGGCGAAGGCGAGUCCCUGGACAACUCCUGACACUGAGGCACGAAAGCUAGGGGAGCAAACAGG